Molecule: ribosomal RNA, 648 nt
Filed under: uncultured organism
Description: SSU rRNA
Rfam family: Bacterial small subunit ribosomal RNA
Source: RNAcentral
CCUAAUACAUGCAAGUCGAGCGGACCAAAUCGGAGCUUGCUCUGAUUUGGUCAGCGGCGGACGGGUGAGUAACACGUGGGCAACCUGCCCGCAAGACCGGGAUAACUCCGGGAAACCGGAGCUAAUACCGGAUAACACCGAACACCGCAUGGUCUUUGGUUGAAAGGCGGCCUUUGGCUGUCACUUGCGGAUGGGCCCGCGGCGCAUUAGCUAGUUGGUGAGGUAACGGCUCACCAAGGCGACGAUGCGUAGCCGGCCUGAGAGGGUGACCGGCCACGCUGGGACUGACACACGCCCCAGACUCCUACGGGAGGCAGCAGUAGGGAAUCUUCCGCAAUGGGCGAAAGCCUGACGGAGCGACGCCGCGUGAGCGAAGAAGGCCUUCGGGUCGUACAGCUCUGUUGUGAGGGACGAAGGAGCGCCGUUUGAACAAGGCGGCGCGGUGACGGUACCUCACAAGGAAGCCCCGGCUAACUACGUGCCAGCAGCCGCGGUAAUACGUACGGGGCGAGCGUUGUCCGGAAUUAUUGGGCGUAAAGCGCGCGCAGGCGGUCUCUUACGUCUGAUGUGAAAGCCCACGGCUCAACCGUGCAGGGUCAUAGCAAACUGGGGGACUUGAGUGCAGGAGAGGAGAGCGGAAUUCCACGU